Molecule: ribosomal RNA, 915 nt
Filed under: Aspergillus assiutensis
Lineage: Eukaryota; Fungi; Ascomycota; Eurotiomycetes; Eurotiales; Aspergillaceae
Description: LSU rRNA
Rfam family: Eukaryotic large subunit ribosomal RNA
Source: RNAcentral
GCAUAUCAAUAAGCGGAGGAAAAGAAACCAACCGGGAUUGCCUCAGUAACGGCGAGUGAAGCGGCAAGAGCUCAAAUUUGAAAGCUGGCCCCUCCGGGGUCCGCGUUGUAAUUUGCAGAGGAUGCUUUGGGUGCGGCCCCCGUCUAAGUGCCCUGGAACGGGCCGUCAGAGAGGGUGAGAAUCCCGUCUUGGGCGGGGUGUCCGUGCCCGUGUAAAGCUCCUUCGACGAGUCGAGUUGUUUGGGAAUGCAGCUCUAAAUGGGUGGUAAAUUUCAUCUAAAGCUAAAUACUGGCCGGAGACCGAUAGCGCACAAGUAGAGUGAUCGAAAGAUGAAAAGCACUUUGAAAAGAGAGUUAAACAGCACGUGAAAUUGUUGAAAGGGAAGCGCUUGCGACCAGACUCGCCCUCGGGGUUCAGCCGGCACUCGUGCCGGUGUACUUCCCCGGGGGCGGGCCAGCGUCAGCUUGGGCGGCCGGUCAAAGGCCUCCGGAAUGUAGUGCCCCCCGGGGCACCUUAUAGCCGGAGGUGCAAUGCGGCCAGCCUGGGCUGAGGAACGCGCUUCGGCACGGACGCUGGCAUAAUGGUCGCAAACGACCCGUCUUGAAACACGGACCAAGGAGUCUAACAUCUACGCGAGUGUUCGGGUGUCAAACCCGUACGCGCAGUGAAAGCAAACGGAGGUGGGAGCCCCCUCGCGGGGCGCACCAUCGACCGAUCCUGAUGUCUUCGGAUGGAUUUGAGUAAGAGCGUAAAUGUGGGGACCCGAAAGAUGGUGAACUAUGCCUGAAUAGGGGCGAAGCCAGAGGAAACUCUGGUGGAGGCUCGCAGCGGUUCUGACGUGCAAAUCGAUCGUCAAAUUUGGGUAUAGGGGCGAAAAGACUAAUCGAAACCAUCUAGUAGCUGGGUUCUGCGAAG